This 433-nucleotide ribosomal RNA is filed under the name uncultured bacterium. RNAcentral describes it as "partial 16S ribosomal RNA". It matches the Rfam family "Bacterial small subunit ribosomal RNA", at positions 29 to 507 of the family's 1533-position model. The record is from RNAcentral.
AGCGAACGCUGGCGGCAGGCUUAACACAUGCAAGUCGAGCGGGCACUUCGGUGUCAGCGGCAGACGGGUGAGUAACACGUGGGAACGUACCCUUUGGUUCGGAAUAACGCUGGGAAACUAGCGCUAAUACCGGAUACGCCCUUUUGGGGAAAGGCUUGCUGCCGAAGGAUCGGCCCGCGUCUGAUUAGCUAGUUGGUGGGGUAAUGGCCUACCAAGGCGACGAUCAGUAGCUGGUCUGAGAGGAUGAUCAGCCACACUGGGACUGAGACACGGCCCAGACUCCUACGGGUGGCAGCAGUGGGGAAUAUUGGACAAUGGGCGCAAGCCUGAUCCAGCCAUGCCGCGUGAGUGAUGAAGGCCUUAGGGUUGUAAAGCUCUUUUGUCCGGGACGAUAAUGACGGUACCGGAAGAAUAAGCCCCGGCUAACUUCGUG